RNAcentral lists this ribosomal RNA (244 nucleotides) under uncultured bacterium. Its description in RNAcentral is "partial 16S ribosomal RNA". It matches the Rfam family "Bacterial small subunit ribosomal RNA", at positions 534 to 776 of the family's 1533-position model. The record is from RNAcentral.
GCGGGUGUUAUUCGGUUUGAUUGGGUGUAAAGGGUACGUAGGCGGCUUCCGCCGUUGGGUGGAUGAAAGAGCGGAGUGUUCCUACGCUGUGGCCUCACAAACAGGAAGCUUGAGUUGGGUGGAGGUUUGAUCAAUUUCUUGUGUAGGGGUAAAAUCCUGCCAUAUAAGAACGAAGACCAGAUGGAGAAAUCGUCUUUCUAUGCCCCACUGACGCUAAGGUACGGAAGCCUGGGAAUCGAACGGG